Python bivittatus (Burmese python) is the source of this 519-nucleotide non-coding RNA. The record is from RefSeq and is a predicted model, not a curated record. NCBI's taxonomy places the organism in Eukaryota, Metazoa, Chordata, Lepidosauria, Squamata, Pythonidae.
GAUUCUUAACAUUAAAUAAAUAAACUUCUUAUUGUGAAUUAAGAGCAACAGAUACCAGGUUCAUCACUCCUUUUUGAAAAAUAUCGAAAUUAAAGGUAAAAUAAAAUCCAGCUAGUGAGCUUUUAAGGCUCUUUCUAAUCCAAACCUUAAGAGUCAGUUUGGAUGGCAAUUCAGCAACUGGGAGCAGUCCACUUAGCUCCAGAGUGAUUUCGAGGCUACCAGAUUGAACUCUGGAAAAAGUCAAAGGUAUCCUGUGUCAGCUCCAGAGAUCAGCCAGAUGCACUCUGAAAGGAUAUUACUGUUUUAAGGUUAUAUGCUGAUGAUACUCAAUUAUACAUCUCCAUCCCAGGUGAGCACACAGUGCAAAUUGCACUGAGGAAUUAUCAGUUAUUAUGCAAUGGAUUGAAAGUAUGUACAGUAACUAAUUGCAACCAGCGUAUCAACUACUAGAAGAGAACCCUGGGCACAGAGAGAACUGCUCCUGUCUGUGCUCCUGCCCUCUGAAGAUGCCGGUCACAG